UCUGGUGACCAGAGCGUGGUGGAACCACCCGGUCCCAUUCCGAACCCGGAAGUGAAACGCCACAGCGCCAAUGGUAGUGGGACGAUAGGUCCUGUGCCCGGAAGUGAAACGCCACAGCGCCAAUGGUAGUGGGACGAUAGGUCCUGUGAGAGUAGGUCGUCGCCAGGU
This 168-nucleotide ribosomal RNA is filed under the name Verrucomicrobiaceae bacterium. The record is from RNAcentral. Lineage: Bacteria; Pseudomonadati; Verrucomicrobiota; Verrucomicrobiia; Verrucomicrobiales; Verrucomicrobiaceae.